ACGAACGCUGGCGGCGUGCCUAAUACAUGCAAGUCGAGCGGAACACUUGGAGCUUGCUCCAAGCGUUCAGCGGCGGACGGGUGAGUAACACGUGGGCAACCUGCCCUGCAGAUCGGGAUAACUCCGGGAAACCGGUGCUAAUACCGAAUAGUUUGCGGCCUCUCCUGAGGCUGCACGGAAAGACGGUUUCGGCUGUCACUGCAGGAUGGGCCCGCGGCGCAUUAGCUAGUUGGUGGGGUAAUGGCCCACCAAGGCGACGAUGCGUAGCCGACCUGAGAGGGUGAUCGGCCACACUGGGACUGAGACACGGCCCAGACUCCUACGGGAGGCAGCAGUAGGGAAUCUUCCGCAAUGGACGAAAGUCUGACGGAGCAACGCCGCGUGAGUGACGAAGGUUUUCGGAUCGUAAAACUCUGUUGUGAGGGAAGAACACGUGCCAACUAACUACUGGCAUUUUGACGGUACCUCACCAGAAAGCCACGGCUAACUACGUGCC
This 496-nucleotide ribosomal RNA is filed under the name Planococcus sp. l12. RNAcentral's name for it is "bacterial SSU rRNA". It matches the Rfam family "Bacterial small subunit ribosomal RNA", at positions 29 to 509 of the family's 1533-position model. The record is from RNAcentral. Lineage: Bacteria; Bacillati; Bacillota; Bacilli; Caryophanales; Caryophanaceae.